GAGCCGGAGGAUGGGGAACAGUCGAUAGAGCUUUGAAUGCGAAGGAAACUUUUUGGUUUGAGUUGAAUGCACUUCUCCUUUUUUUUGCUUGGAUUCACUCUUGAGAUGUUUUUGGUGGUUGAAAACCUUUAAUGCUCAAGUGGCAUAACUCUCUUCUUUUCUACUACUGUUCACUCUGGCUAUUUAAGUGAUCUUCUUUGAAAAAUAGUCGUUAGAGAGGAGAUUAGAGCCGUUCUGGUCGACCCAUCUGCACAAUCUGACAAUGUAUCCAUUGGGAU
Molecule: long non-coding RNA, 278 nt
Filed under: Phoenix dactylifera (date palm)
Lineage: Eukaryota; Viridiplantae; Streptophyta; Magnoliopsida; Arecales; Arecaceae
Description: long non-coding RNA (PDAC_LNC008193)
Source: RNAcentral